RNAcentral lists this long non-coding RNA (939 nucleotides) under Calidris pygmaea (Spoon-billed sandpiper). Its description in RNAcentral is "lncRNA (ENSCPGG00000005663.1)". The record is from RNAcentral. Lineage: Eukaryota; Metazoa; Chordata; Aves; Charadriiformes; Scolopacidae.
AUGCAGGAAUCUUAUAUCCAGGAGCUGCUGGGAAACCUCCCAAGCCAGGUAAGGAACAGGGGCUGCUCCGGCUGGCAGGGCUGGAGGGGUGACCCCCAUCCCUGUCCCCAUCCCUGGUCCCACCCUCCCCACCCUCACCAGGACUCUCCCAUCCCGCAGGUUUUGGUGUUGGGGGGCUGCAGCCAGGUGAGUGCCGCCGUUUGGGGCUGGGGUGGGAGCAUGUCCCCUACCACACCAUGCUUGUCACUGCUUGCUGUCCCCACCCUGCUACCGUCCCCCACUGGGCACUCCACUGCCCAGGAGAGCACCCCGAAGCCACGUGGGUGCCAUGGCGGGGACAGGGGCUUUUGCAGCAGCUCCUGUCCCUGCAGUGAGCCAGGGUGUCCCCAGCAGGGGUGUUCCCGGCCAGGGCAUCCCCAGGCAGGCAGGGUUGGGGUGGCACUGCUGUCACAGGCUGUCACUCGCUGUCGCUUUUUCCCCAGGGGCUGGAGUUCCCGGCUUUGGCGUGUCACCGAUAUUUCCAGGUGGGGUUGCCGGCCAGCUGGGAUUCGCUGGGAAGCCCCCCAAGACCUUCGGAGGAGCCCUCGGUGCCCUGGGCUUCAGAGGCGGCGUGGGCUGCGCACAAGGGAAGUACUGCGGGAGGAAGCGGAAGUAACCGCCCGCCGUCACUGAUGACCUCAUGAACUUUGGUGCUACUGCAUGGUCCAGAAUGUAAAACCCGAGCAAAGCUGAGACAAGCCCUCCCCCUCUCCCCAAAAACUCCGGACCCCCCCCCUCCUUCCUCCCCCCUUCUUCUACUUCUUCUUCUUCUUCUUCGUGCCGGGGCCAUCCCCCGGUCCCACGUUCCCAGGAGGGACCCCAACGCCUCCGGCAGCGCCUGUCCCCAACCAACCCCUCCGUCCCAGCAGGGAGCGCGGAAUAAACUGCGGGGAGCAGCCA